Molecule: unclassified non-coding RNA, 343 nt
Filed under: Hevea brasiliensis (rubber tree)
Lineage: Eukaryota; Viridiplantae; Streptophyta; Magnoliopsida; Malpighiales; Euphorbiaceae
Source: RNAcentral
UUUUAGAUCGGGAUCAAAAAUUACCAUUAUGUAACUUGCAAGAACAAUUGAGAAAUGCAGCAUAAACAUAAUAAAUACCAGAAGUAAAUCAGAGCAGAUGAAUAAAUCUUCUGCUGAUGGGUAACUAUUUGGAAAUUAACAGAAACCAGCAACCACUUGAAAAUUAAAAAAGCUGAAAUAAGAUGAUUUAACAAGAUCAUUUCAGUAAAGGGACAUCACAUAGCUGAGUUGCUUAGAUAUUUGAUUUGAUAUCUUCUGAAGUUGCUUGUAUACUUGAUUUCAGAUCUUCUGAAUACACAACAGAAUUCCAUGAUGGGUUCCGUGGAAGAAAUGUGUCAGAAAC